CCUACUGGUGGCAGCAGUGAGGAAUAUUGGUCAAUGGCCGUAAGGCUGAACCAGCCAAGUCGCGUGAAGGAAGAAGGAUCUAUGGUUUGUAAACUUCUUUUAUAGGGGAAUAAAGGUAUCCACGUGUGGAUAUUUGCAUGUACCCUAUGAAUAAGCAUCGGCUAACUCCGUGCCAGCAGCCGCGGUAAUACGGAGGAUGCGAGCGUUAUCCGGAUUUAUUGGGUUUAAAGGGUGCGUAGGCGGUAUGUAAAGUCAAGGGUGAAAUCCCCGCGCUCAACGUGGGAACUGCCUUUGAAACUGGCAAACUGGAGUGUGUGAGAGGAUAGUGGAAUUCCAGGUGUAGGAGUGAAAUCCGUAGAUAUCUGGAGGAACAUCAGUGGCGAAGGCGACUAUCUGGCACAUAACUGACGCUGAGGAGCGAAAGCGUGGGUAGCAAACAGGAUUAGAUACCCGAGUAGUC
This 460-nucleotide ribosomal RNA is filed under the name uncultured bacterium. RNAcentral describes it as "partial 16S ribosomal RNA". It matches the Rfam family "Bacterial small subunit ribosomal RNA", at positions 338 to 795 of the family's 1533-position model. The record is from RNAcentral.